CCUACGGGAGGCAGCAGUGGGGAAUAUUGGGCAAUGGGCGAGAGCCUGAACCAGCCAAGUCGCGUGAGGGAGUACUGCCCUAUGGGUUGUAAACCUCUUUGGUCGGGGAGCAAAAGCCGGACGUGUCCGGCUGGGAGCGUACCCGAAGACAACGCGUCGGCUAACCCCGUGCCAGCAGCGGCGGUAAUACGGAGGAUGAGAGCGUUAUCGGGAUUUAGCGGGUUAAAGGGGUGCGCAGGCGGAUUUUUAAGUCUGCGGUAAAAUCGUGGGGCUCAACCCCAUGCAGCCGUUGAAACUGGGGAUCUAGAGUGUGCGAGAGGAAUGCGGAAUGCGAGGUGUAGCGGUGAAAUGCAUAGAUAUCACGCAGAACCCCGGUUGCGAAGGCAGCACACCGGUGCACAACUGACGCUCAGGCACGAAAGCGUGGGUAUCGAACAGGAUUAGAUACCCCAGUAGUC
Molecule: ribosomal RNA, 458 nt
Filed under: uncultured bacterium
Lineage: Bacteria
Description: partial 16S ribosomal RNA
Rfam family: Bacterial small subunit ribosomal RNA
Source: RNAcentral